GACGAACGCUGGCGGCGUGCUUAACACAUGCAAGUCGAACGCUGAAGCUCAGCUUUUGUUGGGUGGAUGAGUGGCGAACGGGUGAGUAACACGUGAGUAACCUGCCUCCUUCUUUGGGAUAACGCCCGGAAACGGGUGCUAAUACUGGAUAUUCACUGGUCUUCGCAUGGGGGUUGGUGGAAAGGGUUUUUCUGGUGGGGGAUGGGCUCGCGGCCUAUCAGCUUGUUGGUGGGGUGAUGGCCUACCAAGGCUUUGACGGGUAGCCGGCCUGAGAGGGUGACCGGUCACAUUGGGACUGAGAUACGGCCCAGACUCCUACGGGGGGCAGCAGGGGGGAAUAUUGCACAAUGGGCGCAAGCCUGAUGCAGCGACGGCGCGUGAGGGAUGGAGGCCUGCGGGUUGUGAACCUCUUUCGCUCAUGGUCAAGCCGCAACAAUGGUUGUGGUGAGGGUAGUGGGUAAAGAAGCGCCGGCUAACUACGUG
This 483-nucleotide ribosomal RNA is filed under the name uncultured bacterium. Its description in RNAcentral is "partial 16S ribosomal RNA". It matches the Rfam family "Bacterial small subunit ribosomal RNA", at positions 28 to 507 of the family's 1533-position model. The record is from RNAcentral.